AACACACCGUGAGGGGGAAGGGAAGCUGCUGUGUUGAAGGUGCUUCUGGAAUAGUAUUUUCAUCUCGUCCACUCUUUUUUUUGAGACAGAGUCUCGCUCUGUCGCCCAGGCUAGAGUGCAGUCGGGCGAUCUCGGCUCACUGCGAGUUCCACCUCCCGGGUUCACGCCAUUCUCCUGCCUCAGCCUCCCAAGUAGCUGGAACUACAGGUGCCCACUACCACGCCCAGGUGGAGUCUUGCUUUGUCGCCCAGGCUGGAGUGCAGUGGUGCCAUCUUGGCUCACUGCAACCUCCACCUCCCGGGUUCAAGUAAUUCUUGUGCCUCAGCCUCCCGAGUAGCUGGGACUACAGGCAUGCACCACCACACCCAGGCUCUAGGAAGUAUCUUAGCCCCCAGCCCU
Molecule: small RNA, 399 nt
Filed under: Pan troglodytes (chimpanzee)
Lineage: Eukaryota; Metazoa; Chordata; Mammalia; Primates; Hominidae
Description: processed transcript
Source: RNAcentral